CCCACCACUAGCCGCCGCUCACGCCGCCCCCAACAUCGCAACGCUCACUGCUCUCUCCGGUCGGCCGCUGCACCGCGCCGUCGUCCUCAAACCCUCCUGCCGCCCCCACAGCACCCAUCCCCCCCGAGAUCGAACCCUCUACACCACCAAGGUGCUCCAUCCCCACCCCGUCACCAAGAACUCCGGCCUCUUCGUCAUCCUGGGUGCCGGGCAGAUCCCGGGGAAGACUAUGUCGGCCGUGGAGAAGCACUUCCCACGCUAUCUUGCUUACGUCGGCCCCACGUCGUCCUGCCUACCAGUGCCCCCCACGCGGCCCUGCUCCCCGCCGUUGCCCCCUCCAGGUUGCCGGCUGCGGAGAUUUAUGUCCGUGCGAACAUCCCGGUGAGGCAUCUCUCUCUCUCUCCUGACAACCAAAUUCAUCUCACAGAUCGGAAACAUCAGUGCCAGUGGGUUCUUCUUCAGAGACCAUCCAUUUGACGUUCUGCCCCGAGACCCGAGGACCUUCUUAUGUGCGGAUGUUAAAAGACAUGCCUUCUUUGUACCAUUCGCGAUCUGAAGAGACCAAAGUGAGUUCAGAGUGUACGUAUUUCUCAAAUUAGUUCUUGAGUGGACUAUUUGCGUCUAUGCUCUUCAAUCAUUGCAAACCUAUUUAUGAUAUUCCCGUUGUGCUUCUGUUGGACAACUUCAGAUUUGUGGGCAAAACUUUUUUCAUAAUCAGACAUUUAUAUGUAUAAAUCUUAUUCAAUACAAAUAUCAUUUGUCCUUGCCAACGGGCACCCAGAAAACAUUAUUUGUUUGAAGUAAAGUACACACAUGUAGCAUUUGAGAGGGGAUACAAAAUAGUUUUGUAAAAUAAGCUGGCCAUGAUCUGAAAUCUGAUUCUGAACUCUGUCGUGUUUUCUACAGCACUAACGUGUUAAUGUAGAUGGAAUUGGAUUAUGAAACCAGCCUUACCAUGAUAAAAGUACUGAACCUGACAUCUACAACAAUAUAUUCCUUGCAUAAUCUCUUGCUUUUCCUUGAUGAGAAGCCUUAUGUUCAACAUGUAUAUUUCAGAUUUUGUUUUUUCAGGUUAUUUUUGUGUGGACAAUGUAUGAUACAACCUGUAUAAUAUUGUUGGUGAACAUUUAUGGCAGUGCCUGACAAAAGAAGGCAGCCAAACCUACUAACCAGCGGGAUCCGAAUGAUGUGUGGAUUUCCAAAAGGAAGAAGAAGGCCAUUCACAAGACCACGACCACUGAUGGCAAGAUCACGACCUUGAAAAUGAGCUGCAAGAUAUUCUGGCAACACUUAUCAACCAACUGGAGCUAGUCAUCCAUGGUGGCAACGGCAUCGGUAAGAUCUCACCUUGCUUUUUUACUUGGAUUUAUAGCCUGGGUUUGUUGGUGAAGUAAUGAUCGAAGGAGAUAUUAAAUUGUUGUCUGUGAUAGCAAAUGGCUUGCCUACAACAGAGGACUUUGAGCAUGUCACUGAUUUGGAAAUAUUGAAGGUUCCACCUAUCCCCAUGGAUAAAUUCAUUUAUCUUUUUAUUGGGUUAAUCUCUACAGCAAAUAAUUUUAAACAUAGAAUAGUGGUUCGUAGAACUGGGGUAUCAUGCGUGGGUAGUGACUACCUUAUUGAAGAUCCUUCUUCCUGUUUUGAUUGCAUUUUCGUUCACUAUGUACUUGGUUACACCUUGUCACAAGAUAGCACUCUUCAAAAUUUUGUCAAAACUCUUCUUGUGUUCUGUUUAUUCUAGAAUUACAGCUCCCCACUUCGUGGUCAAUACUUAUGUGCCUCUUUUGCUGCCUUUGAUAAUAGCAUAAAAAUGAGGUGGUGAACGAGGAGCUCUCGAAUGAAGCACAGACAUAUGGAGACAUCGAGUUGCUGUUGUUUGUUGAUUGUUAUAACAAGUGGUACAUAAAUUCGUAUGUAUCUUUUUAUGGCACAGGGAAACUCUUUGCGUGAUGUAAACUUAAAUAAACUAAUGAUGGAAACUUACUACUACUGGCGUUUUG
Long non-coding RNA from Triticum dicoccoides, 1997 nucleotides. RefSeq lists it as uncharacterized. The record is from RefSeq and is a predicted model, not a curated record. The transcript has 4 exons. NCBI's taxonomy places the organism in Eukaryota, Viridiplantae, Streptophyta, Magnoliopsida, Poales, Poaceae.